RNAcentral lists this ribosomal RNA (497 nucleotides) under uncultured bacterium. RNAcentral describes it as "partial 16S ribosomal RNA". It matches the Rfam family "Bacterial small subunit ribosomal RNA", at positions 28 to 507 of the family's 1533-position model. The record is from RNAcentral.
GAUGAACGCAGGCGGCGUGCCUAAUACAUGCAAGUCGAGCGAACAGACGAGGAGCUUGCUCCUCUGACGUUAGCGGCGGACGGGUGAGUAACACGUGGAUAACCUACCUAUAAGACUGGGAUAACUUCGGGAAACCGGAGCUAAUACCGGAUAAUAUAUUGAACCGCAUGGUUCAAUAGUGAAAGACGGUUUUGCUGUCACUUAUAGAUGGAUCCGCGCCGCAUUAGCUAGUUGGUAAGGUAACAGCUUACCAAGGCAACGAUGCGUAGCCGACCUGAGAGGGUGAUCGGCCACACUGGAACUGAGACACGGUCCAGACUCCUACGGGAGGCAGCAGAAGGGAAUCUUCCGCAAUGGGCGAAAGCCUGACGGAGCAACGCCGCGUGAGUGAUGAAGGUCUUCGGAUCGUAAAACUCUGUUAUUAGGGAAGAACAAAUGUGUAAGUAACUAUGCACGUCUUGACGGUACCUAAUCAGAAAGCCACGGCUAACUACGUG